This 254-nucleotide ribosomal RNA is filed under the name uncultured bacterium. Its description in RNAcentral is "partial 16S ribosomal RNA". It matches the Rfam family "Bacterial small subunit ribosomal RNA", at positions 524 to 776 of the family's 1533-position model. The record is from RNAcentral.
UACGUAGGGUGCAAGCGUUAAUCGGAAUUACUGGGCGUAAAGCGUGCGCAGGCGGUUAUGUAAGACAGGUGUGAAAUCCCCGGGCUUAACCUGGGAACUGCAUUUGUGACUGCAUAGCUAGAGUACGGUAGAGGGGGAUGGAAUUCCGCGUGUAGCAGUGAAAUGCGUAGAUAUGCGGGAGGAACACCAGUGGCGAAGGCGACUACCUGGCCUGUUCUUGACGCUGAGGCGCGAAAGCUAGGGGAGCAAACGGG